RNAcentral lists this small RNA (5262 nucleotides) under Mytilus galloprovincialis (Mediterranean mussel). The record is from RNAcentral. Lineage: Eukaryota; Metazoa; Mollusca; Bivalvia; Mytilida; Mytilidae.
AUGAACACGCCUGACAAUUUUAUUGCAGGAAAAAUACGUAAUUUUUUAGGGUGCUGGAAAUUGCUUACACAAGAUAAUUGGAUUCUUAGUUUGGUUAAAGGUUACAAAAUUGAAUUUGAUAAUGUACCGCAACAAACCAAAUUACCUGGAACCAUUAAAUUUAAUGAAUCAGAACAGUCUAUAAUUAAUGGAGAAAUUGAAAAAUUUGUACUAAAAAAUGUUGUUCAAAAAGUCAAUAUCCAGGACAUAAACAAACAAGAAUUUAUUUCGAACAUAUUUAUCAGACCGAAGAAAGAUGGGUCUCAUAGGUUAAUAUUAAACUUGAGACAAUUAAACGAACAAGUUGAAUAUCACCAUUUCAAAAUGGAAACACUUAAAACUGCAUUACAAUUAUUAAAACCGAAUGUCUGGUUUGCAUCUGCAGAUUUAAAGGAUGCAUAUUUUUCGGUUAAUGUUGUACAUAGUGAUAGGCAAUUUUUAAGAUUUUAUUGGAAUGGGACAAAAUAUCAAUUUACUUGUCUCCCAAACGGAUUAGCAAGUGCACCGAGAAUAUUUACUAAGCUUUUAAAACCAAUAUUUUCUACACUUCGAAAAAAUGGAUAUUUAAAUGUGGCAUACAUAGAUGAUAGUCUUCUCAUUAGUGACACUUAUCAGCAUUGUUGUGAUAACAUUAAAGACACAUGUAAUCUCCUCGACCAAUGUGGGUUUACUAUUCACCCUAUUAAAUCAGUACUACAUCCAUGUCAAGAAGUAACUUUUUUGGGUUUUGUUAUUAAUUCUAUAACAAUGACAGUAAAAUUAACGUCUGAAAAGGCAAAGACUAUUGUAGUCAUGUGUAAAGUGUUUGUUAAAAAAUGGGAAACAACAAUUAGAGAGUUUUCUCAGUUAAUUGGAAAAUUGGUAGCUUCUGAACCAGCAGUCCAGUAUGCAAACUUUUAUGUCAAACCUCUUGAACAAAAGAAAGACAAAGCAUUAAAGAUUAAUAGAGGAAAUUACGAUGCGAUAAUGUAUUUGGAUUGUGAAAUACACAAACAUUUAAUUUGGUGGAUAAAUAAUAUUGAAAAGUCUAGUAAACCUAUUCUUACUAUAGAACCUAGUAUGAUUCUUCAAUCUGAUAGCUCAAAAACAGGAUGGGGAGGACUGAUUAAACAUCCGAAAUUAGCUAUGGCCAAAACAGGGGGACAUUGGUCUUACCAUGAACAAGAUAAACAUAUAAAUGUGUUAGAGCUUCUUGCAGCCUUUUUAACUCUUAAAAGUUUCUGUGCUACGAAAAACAAUAUUCAUAUAAAAAUAUAUUUGGAUAAUACAGUAGCGGUUCAGUAUAUUAACAAUAUGGGAGGAAGGAAGGACGAGUUGAAUGAGUUAACUAGAGAUAUUUGGAAUUGGUGUAUCAAUAGAAGCAUUUGGUUAAGUGCAUGUCAUUUGCCGGGGAAAACUAACGUAGAGGCAGACAAACUUUCAAGACAUUUAAGUGAUGAUAUGGAGUGGAAGUUAAAUGAAAACAUUUUCAUGAAAAUUCAAAAACUAUUUGGUCCAAGUAAUAUAGACCUCUUUGCGUCACGACUUAAUUGUCAAUUGAACAAGUAUGUUUCAUAUAUUCCAGAUCCAGAUGCGUGUGCAAUUGAUGCAUUUUCUUUUUCUUGGAAUAUGUAUAAUGGCUAUGCUUUUCCUCCUUUCAGUAUAAUUGGAAGAGUACUCCAGAAAGUGGAAGAAGACAAGGCAACAUUGAUAUUGAUAGCACCAAUAUUCACGACUCAAUAAAAUUGAGAAAGGAAAUGGUGAAUAUGUCAAAGCGACAACCACCCGACCAUAGAGCAACAACAGCGAAGCAACCAAUGUCUUCUGUAGCGAGAAUUCCGCACGUAGGUGUCCUUCAGCUGGCCCUAAAUAUGCAUAAUAGUAACAGUGAUAAGGACAUACUAACUCCGAAUUAUACACAAAAAACUAAAAUUUAAAUCAUACAAGAUAACAAAGGCCAGAGGCUCCUGACUUGGGACAGGCGCAAAAUUGCGCGGGGUUAAACAUUUAUGAGAUCUCAACCUCCCCUAUACCUUACCAAUGUAGAAAAGAAAAGAAUAACAAUACGCACAUUAAAAUUCAGUUCAAGAGAAGUCCAGUCUGAUGUCCAAAGAUGUAACAAAAAAUAAAAAAAAUACAAUAAUACAUAAUAACAACAGACUACUAGCAGUAUAACUGACAUGCAGCUCCAGACCUCAAUUAAACUGAUUGAAAGAUUAUGUCUUCAUCAUAUAAUAUCAGGUAAAUCCCUCCCGUUAGGGUUUAGUAUCAUACUAUCAUAAAUAUAUAUAAAGAACAUAACCCGUGUCAUGCCAACACUGUUUUUUUAGAAUAAAUGUGUUUAGUUCCGAUGCAAAGACCCUAUCAGUGAAUCAAUUUAAAAGCCAAAAUAUGCAAUCUUAAUGACUGACAACGUAUCGUAAUAUAUCCUUUAAUAAGUCUAUUUAAGUUUUUUAUUCUGAGGAGAAUACUGACAUUUUUGUGGCUUUAUAAAGAAAUUUCCAUAAAAUUUUGGAUGUGGAAUACCUGAAUGUAAAGAUGUCUGCUGUUGAGUUAUAUUACGAAUUAUUUCCUUUACCGGUGAUAAAAUUUAGUAAAUGUUUGACCAUUUGUGAUAUCGAAAACCCUGGUGUAAUAAUUUUUCAGUAAUACAUAAAUUUCUCUCGCUAAAAUCUAAUACAUUGUUACAUACACGAGCGAAUCGUACAAGUUGAGAUAUAUAAUCACCAUAGAUGGUGACAAGGGAACGUCACCAUCUAAAAUGGAUAUAAAAUAGGAAAGAAAAAUCAUCUCUUUUAUCAUAAAUUUGUAUUAGCUUCCCGUUAUGAUAUAAUAUCAAGAUCGAGGAAAGGGCAGUUCUUGUAUCUAGUUUAUUUAAAGAAGUCUAAGGAUAAUUUCUUUAGUAUACAUACUGAAGUCGUCAUUAUUUAGAGCCAAUAUAUCAUCCAAUAUCAUAAAGUAUGUUAAUUUUUGUAUCAAAUGUUGGGAGGGUCUUUGCUAAUUUAUCAUAAAUUGUAACUCAUAACAAUACAAAAACAGGUCCGCAAUAAGUGGUGCACAGUUAGUCCCCAUUGGAAUUCAAUAAUUGACGCAUAUACGGAAUCUCCAAAGCGAACAAAAUGUUAUCAAGUAAAAAUUCAAGUGCAUAAAUUUUCAAAGCAUGUCCAUUGAAUAGUUCUUUUAUUAUUCCUACUAAAAAUGAUCUGAAAGAGUUUGAAAUAUAUCGCAUUCCGACUUUUUAAAUGCCCAGUUAAUUAGGGAUGUGAAUUUUUUCUAAUAAGAAUAUGAGGCAAGUGGUAUAUAGGUAGAAAAAUCAAACUUUGAAACAGAUUCAAAUCACCAAUAUAUGCAUGCAAUUAUCAAGUACUUCCAACGAGUUUUGACACUCCAAAAAAUUAUUCCACUAUUCAAAGGCUAUAUUUUAACAAUUUUUAUCAGGUUUUUUAUUGUACCAAGUGUACUUAAGUAAAACAGACAUAUUAGUAGAUUGACAAUGGCGGAAGAUGAAAUAAAUCUAUAUUUGUAAGGUUUUUGGCAGCUUCGGAAGCCAGUACAUAGUUGGGACUUUCAUUGUGUUUGGUUCUGCUUGUAAAGAAGUAGCUAAAUUUAUGUUUGUACAGAUGUCGUUUUCUGAAAAUGAAGUCAGUUGGAAUGUUGGUGAAUUCGUUUUUCCUUUUGCAGAACCUCUAUAUAAAUUUACGUCAAAACAAUAAUGAUUUAUUAUUAGCAGCUUUAUCAGCCGGGACAAAACAAAUUCCUUGGCUAGUUCUGUAGUUUUUUUGAUACCGAAAAUAGGGUUUUUAUAGUUUUUGUUGAGGGUAAAAUGUUCUUUAAAUGUUGUAUUCGAAAUCAACUAUCUUCAUUACUGAAUUAAAAAAAGAGUCCAAAGAUUUUUGUCAGCUUUUUCCCGUUUACCCAUUCAAACAGUAGGCGCGGAGUGAGUCGUUGAUGAUAUUACGACACUCAUUCCAUUAAUAGUUGACGGGGGACGAUUUUAGGUCUUUACUGAGGAAUGAUUUAACUCUCGUCGCGAACGAUGUUAAGGUCCUUUAACAUGGGAAAUUGGUCCAUAGGUGUAUUCUGAAUUACUGCAAUUACACGACAUAGGUGUAUUUUCAACCAUGGUUUGCAAAAAUUCUUCAUCUGAUAGCCGGACAAUCUUACAUACUACCAAAGAAAAAUCUGUUGAUUCAUCCAUCAGAUCCUUCAAGGCAACAUCCGUUAAAGAAAAUGCAGUUAGCAGUAUUUCCUUUAUCAGGACAAGACUUAACAGUUUUGGCUUACCAACAGACACUACAAACAUUUUAUAUGACUCAUGGAGAAAUUCCACAAAAAAAGCAAUAUGGGAGUUAUCUCAACAAAUGGGUGCAAUUUUGUGUUAAAAGACAAAUUAAUUCAUUUAAAGCAUCUAAUUCUAUAGUUUUACAAUUUCUGACAGAAUUGUUUCAAAAAGGUCUUGGAUAUAGUGCUAUUAAUACAGCUCGAUCAGCUUUAUCAUCAGUGUUGGAUUGUGGGAAAGAAAAUCCUAUUGGUAAUGAUCCUUUAAUUUGUCGUUUUAUGAAAGGUGUAUAUAAUAAAAGACCAACUUUACCAAGAUAUGAAGUAACAUGGGACGUUGAUGUGAUGUUGAAGUUUUUAUGUACUCUAUCACCUGUAAAUAUGUUGACUUUGAAAAAUCUUACGUUAAAAUUAACAAUGAUACUAAGUUUAUUAACAGCUCAGAGAACACAAACUUUACAUUUGAUGGAUAUCAAUGAUUGUACUGUUAAUACAGAUGAACUAAUUAUAAAAGUGACAAAAUUCAUCAAAACUUCUAAACCAGGUAGCCAUUUGGCAGACAUACAUUUACCAGCAUAUAUCAAAGACAAAUCUUUAUGUGUUGUGGAUACAUUUAAUGAAUACAUUAAAAGAACUCAAUCAUUAAGAGGACAAUAUACUAAGUUAUUUAUUAUGACUAUGAAACCACAUAAACCUGUGUCAAAAAACACGAUUAGCAGAUGGAUUAAAUUAACAAUGAAACUUGCAGGAUUAGAUAUUAACUUGUUUAAGCCGCAUAGUGUUAGAUCAGCUGCAACUUCAUCUGCUAAAAAAGCAGGGAUUUCGAUAGACGUUAUAAUGAAAUCAGCUGGUUGGAAAAAAGAAUCAACUUUUAGAAAGUUUUAUGACAAACCUAUAGUAGACAAUAACAAAAAUAAGGGUUUGAGUAAAACACUUCUUGAUAACUAUCUUUGUCAUGAUCAUUAG